RNAcentral lists this transfer RNA (73 nucleotides) under Felis catus (domestic cat). It matches the Rfam family "tRNA". From Rfam's summary of the family: Transfer RNA (tRNA) molecules are approximately 80 nucleotides in length. Their secondary structure includes four short double-helical elements and three loops (D, anti-codon, and T loops). Further hydrogen bonds mediate the characteristic L-shaped molecular structure. tRNAs have two regions of fundamental functional importance: the anti-codon, which is responsible for specific mRNA codon recognition, and the 3' end, to which the tRNAs corresponding amino acid is attached (by aminoacyl-tRNA synthetases). tRNAs cope with the degeneracy of the genetic code in two manners: having more than one tRNA (with a specific anti-codon) for a particular amino acid; and 'wobble' base-pairing, i.e. permitting non-standard base-pairing at the 3rd anti-codon position. The record is from Rfam by way of RNAcentral. Lineage: Eukaryota; Metazoa; Chordata; Mammalia; Carnivora; Felidae. RNAcentral also lists the same sequence under 2 other names.
ACCUGGCUGGCUCAGUUGGAAGAGCAUGUGACUCUUGAUCUUGGGGUUGUGAGUUCGAGCCCCACACUGGGUG